RNAcentral lists this ribosomal RNA (254 nucleotides) under uncultured bacterium. Its description in RNAcentral is "partial 16S ribosomal RNA". It matches the Rfam family "Bacterial small subunit ribosomal RNA", at positions 524 to 776 of the family's 1533-position model. The record is from RNAcentral.
UACGGGGGGGGGCAAGCGUUGUUCGGAAUUACUGGGCGUAAAGGGCUCGUAGGCGGCCAACUAAGUCAGACGUGAAAUCCCUCGGCUUAACCGGGGAACUGCGUCUGAUACUGGAUGGCUUGAGUUCGGGAGAGGGAUGCGGAAUUCCAGGUGUAGCGGUGAAAUGCGUAGAUAUCUGGAGGAACACCGGUGGCGAAGGCGGCAUCCUGGACCGACACUGACGCUGAGGAGCGAAAGCCAGGGGAGCAAACAGG